AAUUAAUUGUAGAAUUAUUAAAGAAAGAUCUUUUAUAAGUAUAUCUAUUUCAUUUUAUAUUACAAGCCUUAUAUGGCGGCAUUUGAACGAGUUAGUGUAUUACAUGUGAAGCCAGAUGGUUUUCUGGAAAAAAUAGAUAUUAGAAGAACCCGGCUACCUUCGGUAACUCCUGCUGACGAUGGUUAUGAUCCACUGGAUCACAGGAAUCCUCAAACCCCCAUAAAACCAUGGAUGGCGUACUUCAACAUAGUGAGGUCUCUAUUUGG
Spodoptera litura is the source of this 266-nucleotide non-coding RNA. The record is from RefSeq and is a predicted model, not a curated record. NCBI's taxonomy places the organism in Eukaryota, Metazoa, Arthropoda, Insecta, Lepidoptera, Noctuidae.